AUUGAACGCUGGCGGCGUGCCUAAUACAUGCAAGUCGAACGGAGUGGCGCCCGCGUGAGUAAUGUAUAGGUAAUCUGCCCUACACUAGAGGACAACAUUUGGAAACGGCUGCUAAUACUCUCUAGUGUAGGAUGAGGCUAUAUUGUAUCAUCUAGUUGAUGAGGUAAUGGCUCACCAAUGCGAUGACGCAUAACUUGUGUGAGAGGAUGAGCAGGCACAUGUGAAGUGAGGCACGGGGCAGGCACCUACGGGAGGCGGCAGUAGGGAAUAGUGCUCAAUGGGGGAAACGCUAAAGCAGCAUCGCCGCGUUGAGGAUGAUAAUUUUCGGAGCGUAAACUAAGUUUGUUAGGGAAGCGGUACCUAACGAAUAAGCACCGGCUAACUCCGUGCCAGCAGCCGCGGUAAUAC
RNAcentral lists this ribosomal RNA (408 nucleotides) under uncultured bacterium. RNAcentral describes it as "partial 16S ribosomal RNA". It matches the Rfam family "Bacterial small subunit ribosomal RNA", at positions 30 to 526 of the family's 1533-position model. The record is from RNAcentral.